RNAcentral lists this ribosomal RNA (468 nucleotides) under uncultured bacterium. RNAcentral describes it as "partial 16S ribosomal RNA". It matches the Rfam family "Bacterial small subunit ribosomal RNA", at positions 28 to 507 of the family's 1533-position model. The record is from RNAcentral.
GACGAACGCUGGCGGCGUGCUUAACACAUGCAAGUCGAACGGAAAGGCCCUGCUUUUGUGGGGUGCUCGAGUGGCGAACGGGUGAGUAACACGUGAGUAACCUGCCCUUGACUUUGUGAUACCUUCAGGACACUGGGGCUAAUACCGGAUAUGAGCUCCUGCUGCAUGGUGGGGGUUGGCAAGUUUCGGCGGUUGGGGAUGGACUCGCGGCUUUUCAGCUUGUGGGUGGGGUAGUGGCCUACCAAGGCUUUGGCGGGUAGCCGGCCUGAGAGGGUGACCGGCCACAGUGAGACUGAGGUACGGGCCAGACUCCUACGGGGAGCCGCAGUGGCGAAUAUUGCACAAUGGGCGGAAGCCUGAUGCAGCAACGCCGCGUGCGGGAUGACGGCCUUCGGGUUGUAACCCGCUUUCGCCUGGGACGAAGCGUGAGUGACGGUAAUGGGUAAAGAAGCACCGGCUAACUACGUG